GGAUUUUAUUGUUCCACACCACAGGAACCAGCUCUUCUCUUCAGGACCCAGUCGAUCCGGUCCUGGAAUCAUAACGACCCUCGUCAGUAGGAAAACAACGUUAGUCCAGGUUUUACGUUUAAACUGGUGCGGUCCAAAUCUUUGAAGGCCACUCCAGAUGGGCUGGGGGGUUCCGUGUGGGUCCAGAGUCCCAGGUUGCAGAAACGGGCACUAAAGGGAUAUUUAAGCAAAACCUCUGAAUCGGCAGCAUCACACGUUUCCACGGUGAUUUCUGGCUCCGCCACCACACCGCUGGAGGCUUAGUAGGAAGUUGCUUCUGUGCGCUGCUCAGCAGCUCAACUUCCUCCAUCUUUUCUCAAAUCCAAACAGCUGCAUCGAUUGUGGAUUUCAGGGCCAAUGCUUCUGACCCAGGUACGGCGCUGACCCGGUCCAUCCUCCAGAACCAGAACAAAUGGGUUUAAGCCCCUGGUUAACUCUGAGAGCUGUAGAAAGAGAGAGUUGCGACACUCUAGUAGACUUCUAUGGAAAGAACGGAACGCGGGAGUCACGUGGUUCACGUAGCUUCGACUAGUUCCAAACAGCCCCGCUGCUGCAUCGACCGCCGUUCAUUUUCGGUGUUUCGGAAGGAUUUUCUCCGGUAAGUUGAUGACGUGUCAUCAUUUUGUUGCAUUGUGAAGCGUUAGCUAACCGCUUCGUACCAAAAUAAGCCAACGAUGAUAUUUUAUGUUGCCAGUUUUAGCUAGAGAACCUUUAAUGAGCUAACUGUGUGCAGCUUGUUGGUUGUGAGCAGGAGGACGAGCUGCAGACGGGUUUAUUUCAGUUUGUUUGAUUCUACGUUUUACAAAUAUUCCCCACAGUUUGAAAUAGGUUAUAAACUUUUGACAUUAUUAGUUUAAUUUGGGAUUUUUUGUACAAUACGUUGCUGGUUGCUGUAUCAACACCAACAUGCAUCAGAAAUGGAAGCACAGAUGGAGAGACCAGUAUUAAAGAAAAUGGGAUCGUGAAGACACGUAAUUAUUUAAUAUUUUUCAGUUAAUAACGCUGACUGCAACAAACUGCUGAAGCAAACAGGAUUACGAACGUAAGAAGAUAUGUUGUUCUGUUUUGUGGACUCAAGUAAUAAGAAUAAAAUUAAGAUAAUUCAAGAACAGUAGUCGAACAAUAACUUAAAAAUUAGACAUUUUCCAUAAAACUGCUCAUUUCCUCUUGCUUUAUAAUAUUAGCAUUUGCAAUUUUGUUAUUAAGGAAUGACAAGAAAUAAGAAUUAACAAUAACACAAUUAUCAAUAAAUAAACGUCAAAGAGAAACUAUAACAAAAAUCUCAUGUAACCAUUAAAGGUUAAACUGUGUCGUGUGUCCAUCUUCAUGUUUUCAUCGUGGCUGAGCGGAGAGCUGGCCAGGAACAACGGUGGUGGUAAAACCCAGUUGGGUCUGUGAUGGAGUGAUGCACGCCUGGAGUGAUUGCCAUCUCAUCCACAGUUCUAACAUCAGGCAGAGGGAUACUCGUGUCCUGGAGAAACCUGAAGCCUGUUGAACCUGCUGAAAAACCCAGCUGUUUUCCAGCUGGGUUCCCUGGUUGCAUCGCCUGUUCCUUUCUCCUCCUGGCCCUGACGCCGGCUCCUCGUGGCUUCCUGGGAUGUCCCUCUCUCCUGAUACCAUCUCAUGUCCCCCCUCACUUUCCCUCAUCUCAUUUGCCUCACUGCUGCUGCUGCUUUCCUCGUUCUCUGAAAUUAUAAUGGCACUGUUAGAAUAAAGAAUCAUUUUUAAAUAAAAUAAAUACAAAUGUCUAAUAUUUCAAAAGAUUUGUACCACAGUUUACUUGAGUACAACAUGUGUGGUCACUGGUCAGUGGAUCAACAUGCAGAGGUUCUGCUGUACUUCUCACUGCGGGGUCCUUCCUCCUCCUUGGUUCAGGGCGAUGAACAAACACAGCAUCAGCCCUGAGUCUCACCUUGCCUUGCCUAAGCUCAGUAAACUCUCCCUCCUCUAAAUGUGCCUGUAGAGUGGUGUAUUAGUUUAUUUCCUGCCACAUUUAACAGUUUAAUUGCAGCCUUGUGCAGUUGAGAGCAGAACAUGUAGAUCCUUGAUAGAAAACAUUAUAGAGUGCACGUUAAACUCACUGCACACAGCUUUUUGUUAUUGUGAUCUCUGGUCAUGGUGAGGUUGCUCCUGCUGACUUGAGCCAACCAUUUUCUUCUUCUCUCUGCGUCUUUGGGGAAGCCAUAAUUCUGAUUCCUCCCUCAGACCGUUUGCUAUAUGCAGGGCAGCCAACCAUGUAAGAUAUUCAACCUAUAAAGGGAUUAUUAAAAUACAGUUUUUGUACAUAUAGAAACCAAAAAUAUAGAGAUGUAAAAUUACAUUUCAAAAUUUUAUCCAACCCUAAAAUAUUUCAAAUUUUAACCCACGGACACAUUUUAUUUUAAUAAUAAUCAAAAUAAAGUUAUUCAAAAGAGUUUCAUUAGGUCUUGAGUACAUUGCUCAUAAUUAAUGAUUCAACUUAUUUGUGCAUAUGUAAUGACUAAACAUAAUGUUGGUAAAAUGCUUUAUAAAAAUGCUAUUAUACAUGUUGUACAAGUUUGGUGUUCAUUUUUUCACAAUUAACACUUAUUUUUAUCUACUUUGAUGAACCAUACAGUUUUAUUGAAAUUUUGUUUUUAAUUGCUAUUACUCAGGCUAUAGAAGCCAGAUUCAAUUCAAAUUCAAAAAUACUUUAUUAAUCCCAGAGGGAAAUUAGAGUUUCAGUACACACAAUUCUGAGAUCAGACCGACAUGGGCAAAGACACAUGUCAAGAAUUGGUGACUGUGGUCAUUUGCAACCCGAGUCGCGCUACCUUAAUAGAGAUCAGAGAGGUUUACAUGAGGAUUGGUUCAGGUGGAGGGAAAAAAAGGCACUUCAGAGUUAGCCUCCACAGGGAGGGCAGCUUUGCUCUGCAAAAAACACCUCAGGCAACAGACUUCAGACAUUACAUAACAUUAGUGUCCACUAGGUGGGGUGGUAGGGUUUUGGGGCUCUCCACACGUCAGCAGCAGCACAGCUCGCAGUCCCGCCCAGGCCGGGAUAGGGAGACAGAGUUGCCAUGGCGAUGGCAGUAUUCCACAUUUCUUCUGAGGGGGGUAUUCGUUUCAGCCUCACAGGCUCAACGGCACCAGAUUCAGAUAAGAAAUUGUUUUGGGGCCAGACAGAGAUAAUUUCUUCUCUGUCUUUGAGUUCCGCAGGUCCUCAACCUCUCAAAAUCCAAUAAUGGCGUAGAUUAAUCUAUCCCAAUCCGUGCUGAUUCGUCCACUCGUUCCUUGAUCCCAUCCAUCUUUUGUGCCAACGCAUGAAUCUCAGCCAAAGCUCCAAGCUUACGACUCAUCUCGACAAUUAUGAGUCUGUGAAUUCACAGUGUGGUGCAAUCCAUCUCUGAGCUCUGGGAGUGAGCCAAUAUUCCUCGACAGCUCGUUAAUUUUCCGGUAAGUCGGGUAACCUCCAAGGCCAAAGAGCAGGAAACCUGACACCAACACCAUGAAUAUCCAGACGUCUUCAGAAUCUUCUACAGACAGCUGAGAUAAGCAAAUCAGGUUCCACUGUUUCCAGGAGUCCAUGAUGUGCCCAGCUGGAUCUGUCCCAGAGGGGCACCCGGGAGCCCCUUCUCCCCUUCUCAUCGUUGAGAAAAUUUUGUCAAUCGCGUUGAGUGACCAGCUGACCAGGUCCAUUUUUAAUAAUUUCCAGUUUCCAGAAAAAAUGUAGAAGCUCCGUCCACCCAGAGACAGACAACGAGCCUAGGGGAUAAGAUAGGGAGGAGAGGAGGAAAAAAGCGUCUGUACUCUCCAAGAGUCGGAAGAAGAAACUAAACUGGGUUACAGAUGCAUGUACUGUCUUCACAUAAAAAUAUAAAGUAAUGACUGUAAAAUGUAUUCUACUGAACAUAAUAAAUCAUCAUUCAAAGCAUAAACAGCUACAUGUUUUCUUCAGGGUAAGCUGGAGCAGAAUUCUAGCUUUCAGUAAACCACUUUAAAAUGGAUAUUACAACUCGAGUUUAGGGCUUCUUGUAGGACUUAAAGUUAUUAAAUAUGCUUAUAUUAGAGCAGUGUGUUGCAUUACUACAUCUAAUUUAUUGCUAUAGUAUAUUAUAGUAAUAUACGUGGUCUAAAUGUGUUCUACAGUGUGUUAGGACUGUCGUGUUCCUGUAAUGUAGAACAGUCACGGGUGUCUGUCUUCCUACAAAUGCUCGGAAAAAAUAAAUAGGCUACUUUGAAGGAAUUAGGAUAUAAUAUAUAAUAUUAUUCUAAAAUUACCACAAAUUGCCAGGGAAAUGUGACAAUAUUCCAUUUUUGUGAUUUGUCCCACCAUGCGCCGUUCAAACUGACUUACGGCGCUGGGAUGUUUGGAACUAUUGAGAGCUCCAUGAUCCACGUGACCACAAGUCGGCGAGUUCAAAGCGUGUCGCAACUCUCCUUCUACCGCUCUGGGUUAACUAAAACAUUCAGAUUCUGGAGGGGAAAUCUCUGGUCUAGCAUCAAGUAACAGUUAGUGAUGGUGAGUUCACUGUUGACUGUGGGAAAAGUCAGCAUUUGGGUUUCAGAUGUUCUGAUUCCAGUUUUCUGGUCCUCACUAGAGAUGCAGCUGGUCUCCUCCAGCCUCCGCUACCAAGGCCCAUUUCCAACAGAACCGGUCUGAGUCUUCCUCUGGCUGCUUUUGUCU
This is a non-coding RNA of Nothobranchius furzeri (turquoise killifish), 4684 nucleotides long. NCBI's taxonomy places the organism in Eukaryota, Metazoa, Chordata, Actinopteri, Cyprinodontiformes, Nothobranchiidae. The record is from RefSeq and is a predicted model, not a curated record.